RNAcentral lists this ribosomal RNA (256 nucleotides) under uncultured bacterium. Its description in RNAcentral is "partial 16S ribosomal RNA". It matches the Rfam family "Bacterial small subunit ribosomal RNA", at positions 524 to 776 of the family's 1533-position model. The record is from RNAcentral.
UACGUAGGUGGCAAGCGUUGUCCGGAUUUAUUGGGUUUAAAGGGUGCGUAGGCGGCUUUGUAAGUCAGUGGUGAAAUACUCCAGCUUAACUGGAGGGGUGCCAUUGAUACUGCGGAGCUUGAGUACAGAUGAGGUAGGCGGAAUUGACGGUGUAGCGGUGAAAUGCAUAGAUAUCGUCAAGAACACCGAUAGCGAAGGCAGCUUACUGGGCUGUAAACUGACGCUGAUGCACGAAAAGUGUGGGGGAUCAAACAGG